GACGAACGCUGGCGGCGUGCUUAACACAUGCAAGUCGAGCGGUAAGGCCCUUUCGGGGGUACACGAGCGGCGAACGGGUGAGUAACACGUGGGUGACCUGCCCUCAGCUCUGGGAUAAGCCUGGGAAACUGGGUCUAAUACUGGAUAUGACUCCACGGUGCAUGUCGUGGGGUGGAAAGCCUUGUGCGGCUGAGGAUGGGCCCGCGGCCUAUCAGCUUGUUGGUGGGGUGANGGGCCCUACCAAGGCGACGACGGGUAGCCGGCCUGAGAGGGCGACCGGCCACACUGGGACUGAGACACGGCCCAGACUCCUACGGGAGGCAGCAGUGGGGAAUCUUGCGCAAUGGGCGAAAGCCUGACGCAGCGACGCCGCGUGAGGGAUGACGGCCUU
RNAcentral lists this ribosomal RNA (391 nucleotides) under uncultured bacterium. RNAcentral's name for it is "bacterial SSU rRNA". It matches the Rfam family "Bacterial small subunit ribosomal RNA", at positions 28 to 418 of the family's 1533-position model. The record is from RNAcentral.